RNAcentral lists this ribosomal RNA (449 nucleotides) under uncultured bacterium. RNAcentral's name for it is "partial 16S ribosomal RNA". It matches the Rfam family "Bacterial small subunit ribosomal RNA", at positions 29 to 523 of the family's 1533-position model. The record is from RNAcentral.
AAUGAACGCUGGCGGCAGGCCUAACACAUGCAAGUCGAACGGAUCCUUCGGGAUUAGUGGCGGACGGGUGAGUAACGCGUGGGAACAUACCCAAAGGUACGGAAUAGCCUCGGGAAACUGGGAGUAAUACCGUAUGUGCUCGAAAGAGGAAAGAUUUAUCGCCUUUGGAUUGGCCCGCGUUGGAUUAGGUAGUUGGUGGGGUAAUGGCCUACCAAGCCGACGAUCCAUAGCUGGUUUGAGAGGAUGAUCAGCCACCCUGGGACUGAGACACGGCUCAGGCUCCUACGGGCGGCAGCAGUGGGGACUCUUAGACAAUGGGGGAAACCCUGAUCUAGCCAUGCCGCGUGAUCGAUGAAGGCCUUAGGGUUGUAAAGAUCUUUCAGGUGGGAAGAUAAUGACUGUACCACCAGAAGAAGCCCCGGCUAACUCCGUGCCAGCCGCCGCCGUAA